RNAcentral lists this ribosomal RNA (301 nucleotides) under uncultured bacterium. RNAcentral's name for it is "partial 16S ribosomal RNA". It matches the Rfam family "Bacterial small subunit ribosomal RNA", at positions 509 to 807 of the family's 1533-position model. The record is from RNAcentral.
CAGCCGCCGCGGUAAUACGGAGGGUGCAAGCGUUAAUCGGAAUUACUGGGCGUAAAGCGCACGCAGGCGGUUUGUUAAGUCAGAUGUGAAAUCCCCGAGCUUAACUUGGGAACUGCGUUUGAAACUGGCAAGCUAGAGUCUUGUAGAGGGGGGUAGAAUUCCAGGUGUAGCGGUGAAAUGCGUAGAGAUCUGGAGGAAUACCGGUGGCGAAGGCGGCCCCCUGGACAAAGACUGACGCUCAGGUGCGAAAGCGUGGGGAGCAAACAGGAUUAGAUACCCCUGUAGUCCCUGUCUCUUAUAC